Molecule: non-coding RNA, 1082 nt
Organism: Paramormyrops kingsleyae
Lineage: Eukaryota; Metazoa; Chordata; Actinopteri; Osteoglossiformes; Mormyridae
Source: RefSeq, a predicted model, not a curated record
GUCAGCGCUUUGCCCCUCCGAAGGUUUAUUUUUAAUCGGCUGCACGGCAUGAGAGAGACCGAGGUUACGGAGCAAUGUGGGGACGGCCGGCUGUACAGGGUCGCCAAAUUCGGUCAGCUGGCCGGCGUGAUGUUUUCAAUUCGAGACACGAAUUUAUAUAUGCGUGAGAGUUGGCAACCCUGGGGUAUAUAAGACGGGCGGGGGGCACCCCCUCUGGAAGCACGUUGGACCCCGCAGGAAGACAGCCGCCUGGACAAAGGAUAAUGAGCCGUACGUUCCAGACCUCGAGCUGGUAUUACCUGGAAAGCAGGAAUGGCUCUGCUCCUGGAUGCUGACUGCUGACCUUACACGUCCAAACUAUGGGUAAUGGCAGCGUGUGACUAUGUGCCAAACCAGGAAACGAGCUGGUCAAUGCUGUGUCGCUUUUUCAAGCUCUUUGUAGUAUUUGAAUGAGAAACCCCCAGCUGGUGGAAUAAAAAUGUGUCUAUAGUAAUCAACUGGCUUAGGCUCCUAAACCCUGGUCACCAAAACAAUCUCCCCUGGGUUAAAUCAGCUAGUGAUGUAAAUCUCAGCAAUGGGAAUGAUGUUAUUUGUUUUUCAUCAGUAAUUUGCACACUUGUGUGUGAAUGUUUUUUUAAUGCCAGCCAAGAGAUUUCAGAGGGUAACUUUGUUCAACAAAUGAAUUGAGAUGUUUUCAUGUUUUUGGUGAUGAAAUACUGGCACCUUUUUUCCCACCUCGCUGUGUUUGUUAUUGCUGAUCUGGCUGCAGGUUUAGCAAAUACAUCUUAGAAGCGUGUGAAAUAUUUAUCUCUUUUUAAAUUAAGGUCAGAUCCUUAAAUCUGUCAUAAUCCCAAUUGUCAUGUUUGCGUUCCAUUAUUAUUUAUUCAUUUGUUUGUUUGUUUAUACAUACAGGUCACUGAGUGACUGAACCAGGUGGUAUUUUAUUUCAAAUGAUGUCUCCAAUCUGUUUUUUUUUUUUCUGGAUCAGAACAUACUUCUAGUCCACUUGUGCUCCAUUUGCAGGAUGCAUAUCCAGUCACCCCAGAUUACCCCAGACACAUAUUAAAUGUUUUACCGUUUAA